UUAAGUUAUUAAGGGCGCACGGUGGAUGCCUUGGCACUAGAAGCCGAUGAAGGACGUUACUAACGACGAUAUGCUUUGGGGAGCUGUAAGUAAGCUUUGAUCCAGAGAUUUCCGAAUGGGGAAACCCAGCAUGAGUUAUGUCAUGUUAUCGAUAUGUGAAUACAUAGCAUAUCAGAAGGCACACCCGGAGAACUGAAACAUCUUAGUACCCGGAGGAAGAGAAAGAAAAUUCGAUUCCCUUAGUAGCGGCGAGCGAAACGGGAAGAGCCCAAACCAACAAGCUUGCUUGUUGGGGUUGUAGGACACUCUAUACGGAGUUACAAAGGACGACAUUAGACGAAUCAUCUGGAAAGAUGAAUCAAAGAAGGUAAUAAUCCUGUAGUCGAAAAUGUUGUCUCUCUUGAGUGGAUCCUGAGUACGACGGAGCACGUGAAAUUCCGUCGGAAUCUGGGAGGACCAUCUCCUAAGGCUAAAUACUCUCUAGUGACCGAUAGUGAACCAGUACCGUGAGGGAAAGGUGAAAAGCACCCCGGAAGGGGAGUGAAAUAGAACCUGAAACCGUGUGCUUACAAGUAGUCAGAGCCCGUUAAUGGGUGAUGGCGUGCCUUUUGUAGAAUGAACCGGCGAGUUACGAUUUGAUGCAAGGUUAAGCAGUAAAUGUGGAGCCGUAGCGAAAGCGAGUCUGAAUAGGGCGUUUAGUAUUUGGUCGUAGACCCGAAACCAGGUGAUCUACCCUUGGUCAGGUUGAAGUUCAGGUAACACUGAAUGGAGGACCGAACCGACUUACGUUGAAAAGUGAGCGGAUGAACUGAGGGUAGCGGAGAAAUUCCAAUCGAACCUGGAGAUAGCUGGUUCUCUCCGAAAUAGCUUUAGGGCUAGCCUCAAGUGAUGAUUAUUGGAGGUAGAGCACUGUUUGGACGAGGGGCCCCUCUCGGGUUACCGAAUUCAGACAAACUCCGAAUGCCAAUUAAUUUAACUUGGGAGUCAGAACAUGGGUGAUAAGGUCCGUGUUCGAAAGGGAAACAGCCCAGACCACCAGCUAAGGUCCCAAAAUAUAUGUUAAGUGGAAAAGGAUGUGGCGUUGCCCAGACAACUAGGAUGUUGGCUUAGAAGCAGCCAUCAUUUAAAGAGUGCGUAAUAGCUCACUAGUCGAGUGACACUGCGCCGAAAAUGUACCGGGGCUAAACAUAUUACCGAAGCUGUGGAUUGUCCUUUGGACAAUGGUAGGAGAGCGUUCUAAGGGCGUUGAAGCAUGAUCGUAAGGACAUGUGGAGCGCUUAGAAGUGAGAAUGCCGGUGUGAGUAGCGAAAGACGGGUGAGAAUCCCGUCCACCGAUUGACUAAGGUUUCCAGAGGAAGGCUCGUCCGCUCUGGGUUAGUCGGGUCCUAAGCUGAGGCCGACAGGCGUAGGCGAUGGAUAACAGGUUGAUAUUCCUGUACCACCUAUAAUCGUUUUAAUCGAUGGGGGGACGCAGUAGGAUAGGCGAAGCGUGCGAUUGGAUUGCACGUCUAAGCAGUAAGGCUGAGUAUUAGGCAAAUCCGGUACUCGUUAAGGCUGAGCUGUGAUGGGGAGAAGACAUUGUGUCUUCGAGUCGUUGAUUUCACACUGCCGAGAAAAGCCUCUAGAUAGAAAAUAGGUGCCCGUACCGCAAACCGACACAGGUAGUCAAGAUGAGAAUUCUAAGGUGAGCGAGCGAACUCUCGUUAAGGAACUCGGCAAAAUGACCCCGUAACUUCGGGAGAAGGGGUGCUCUUUAGGGUUAACGCCCAGAAGAGCCGCAGUGAAUAGGCCCAAGCGACUGUUUAUCAAAAACACAGGUCUCUGCUAAACCGUAAGGUGAUGUAUAGGGGCUGACGCCUGCCCGGUGCUGGAAGGUUAAGAGGAGUGGUUAGCUUCUGCGAAGCUACGAAUCGAAGCCCCAGUAAACGGCGGCCGUAACUAUAACGGUCCUAAGGUAGCGAAAUUCCUUGUCGGGUAAGUUCCGACCCGCACGAAAGGCGUAACGAUUUGGGCACUGUCUCAACGAGAGACUCGGUGAAAUCAUAGUACCUGUGAAGAUGCAGGUUACCCGCGACAGGACGGAAAGACCCCGUGGAGCUUUACUGUAGCCUGAUAUUGAAAUUCGGCACAGCUUGUACAGGAUAGGUAGGAGCCUUUGAAACGUGAGCGCUAGCUUACGUGGAGGCGCUGGUGGGAUACUACCCUAGCUGUGUUGGCUUUCUAACCCGCACCACUUAUCGUGGUGGGAGACAGUGUCAGGCGGGCAGUUUGACUGGGGCGGUCGCCUCCUAAAAGGUAACGGAGGCGCUCAAAGGUUCCCUCAGAAUGGUUGGAAAUCAUUCAUAGAGUGUAAAGGCAUAAGGGAGCUUGACUGCGAGACCUACAAGUCGAGCAGGGUCGAAAGACGGACUUAGUGAUCCGGUGGUUCCGCAUGGAAGGGCCAUCGCUCAACGGAUAAAAGCUACCCCGGGGAUAACAGGCUUAUCUCCCCCAAGAGUUCACAUCGACGGGGAGGUUUGGCACCUCGAUGUCGGCUCAUCGCAUCCUGGGGCUGUAGUCGGUCCCAAGGGUUGGGCUGUUCGCCCAUUAAAGCGGUACGCGAGCUGGGUUCAGAACGUCGUGAGACAGUUCGGUCCCUAUCCGUCGUGGGCGUAGGAAAUUUGAGAGGAGCUGUCCUUAGUACGAGAGGACCGGGAUGGACAUACCUCUGGUGUACCAGUUGUCGUGCCAACGGCAUAGCUGGGUAGCUAUGUGUGGACGGGAUAAGUGCUGAAAGCAUCUAAGCAUGAAGCCCCCCUCAAGAUGAGAUUUCCCAACUUCGGUUAUAAGAUCCCUCAAAGAUGAUGAGGUUAAUAGGUUCGAGGUGGAAGCAUGGUGACAUGUGGAGCUGACGAAUACUAAUCGAUUGAAGACUUAAUCAA
This 2921-nucleotide ribosomal RNA is filed under the name Staphylococcus aureus 12S00040. RNAcentral describes it as "bacterial LSU rRNA". It matches the Rfam family "Bacterial large subunit ribosomal RNA". The record is from RNAcentral. RNAcentral also lists the same sequence under 2 other names. Lineage: Bacteria; Bacillati; Bacillota; Bacilli; Caryophanales; Staphylococcaceae.